Molecule: ribosomal RNA, 934 nt
Filed under: Enterococcus faecalis
Lineage: Bacteria; Bacillati; Bacillota; Bacilli; Lactobacillales; Enterococcaceae
Description: bacterial SSU rRNA
Rfam family: Bacterial small subunit ribosomal RNA
Source: RNAcentral
GCUGGCGGCGUGCCUAAUACAUGCAAGUCGAACGCUUCUUUCCUCCCGAGUGCUUGCACUCAAUUGGAAAGAGGAGUGGCGGACGGGUGAGUAACACGUGGGUAACCUACCCAUCAGAGGGGGAUAACACUUGGAAACAGGUGCUAAUACCGCAUAACAGUUUAUGCCGCAUGGCAUAAGAGUGAAAGGCGCUUUCGGGUGUCGCUGAUGGAUGGACCCGCGGUGCAUUAGCUAGUUGGUGAGGUAACGGCUCACCAAGGCCACGAUGCAUAGCCGACCUGAGAGGGUGAUCGGCCACACUGGGACUGAGACACGGCCCAGACUCCUACGGGAGGCAGCAGUAGGGAAUCUUCGGCAAUGGACGAAAGUCUGACCGAGCAACGCCGCGUGAGUGAAGAAGGUUUUCGGAUCGUAAAACUCUGUUGUUAGAGAAGAACAAGGACGUUAGUAACUGAACGUCCCCUGACGGUAUCUAACCAGAAAGCCACGGCUAACUACGUGCCAGCAGCCGCGGUAAUACGUAGGUGGCAAGCGUUGUCCGGAUUUAUUGGGCGUAAAGCGAGCGCAGGCGGUUUCUUAAGUCUGAUGUGAAAGCCCCCGGCUCAACCGGGGAGGGUCAUUGGAAACUGGGAGACUUGAGUGCAGAAGAGGAGAGUGGAAUUCCAUGUGUAGCGGUGAAAUGCGUAGAUAUAUGGAGGAACACCAGUGGCGAAGGCGGCUCUCUGGUCUGUAACUGACGCUGAGGCUCGAAAGCGUGGGGAGCAAACAGGAUUAGAUACCCUGGUAGUCCACGCCGUAAACGAUGAGUGCUAAGUGUUGGAGGGUUUCCGCCCUUACAGUGCUGCAGCAAACGCAUUAAGCACUCCGCCUGGGGAGUACGACCGCAAGGUUGAAACUCAAAGGAAUUGACGGGGGCCCGCACAAGCGGUGGAGC